UAGGGAAUCUUCGGCAAUGGGGGGAACCCUGACCGAGCAACGCCGCGUGAGUGAAGAAGGUUUUCGGAUCGUAAAGCUCUGUUGUUAAGGAAGAACGAGUGUGAGAUUGGAAAGUUCAUACUGUGACGGUACUUAACCAGAAAGGGACGGCUAACUACGUGCCAGCAGCCGCGGUAAUACGUAGGUCCCGAGCGUUGUCCGGAUUUAUUGGGCGUAAAGCGAGCGCAGGCGGUUAGAUAAGUCUGAAGUUAAAGGCAGUGGCUCAACCAUUGUAGGCUUUGGAAACUGUUUAACUUGAGUGCAGAAGGGGAGAGUGGAAUUCCAUGUGUAGCGGUGAAAUGCGUAGAUAUAUGGAGGAACACCGGUGGCGAAAGCGGCUCUCUGGUCUGUAACUGACGCUGAGGCUCGAAAGCGUGGGGAGCGAACAGG
RNAcentral lists this ribosomal RNA (429 nucleotides) under Bacteroidota bacterium. Its description in RNAcentral is "Bacteroidetes bacterium partial 16S ribosomal RNA". It matches the Rfam family "Bacterial small subunit ribosomal RNA", at positions 355 to 776 of the family's 1533-position model. The record is from RNAcentral. Lineage: Bacteria; Pseudomonadati; Bacteroidota.